This 220-nucleotide long non-coding RNA is filed under the name Gossypium barbadense (sea-island cotton). RNAcentral describes it as "long non-coding RNA (GBAR_LNC002250)". The record is from RNAcentral. Lineage: Eukaryota; Viridiplantae; Streptophyta; Magnoliopsida; Malvales; Malvaceae.
AUAUAUUAAAAGAAUGUAUAAAAAUAUCAAAAUAAAGUUUUGGUUAAGUGAUAAAUUUAAGGUUUUAUUACUCCAAUUGGUAUGGGUUUAAAUAUUAUCACGUGUAUAUAUAUAUUUUUGUUAAAAUGAAAAGAUUAAAAUACCCUUGAACAAUAUGACUUAUUUUAAUAAUGAAAUGACAUUUUUUUAAUUUCUUAACUGAAUUGAUUCCCGAUUCACC